This is a long non-coding RNA of Physella acuta, 521 nucleotides long. RefSeq lists it as uncharacterized. The record is from RefSeq and is a predicted model, not a curated record. Lineage: Eukaryota; Metazoa; Mollusca; Gastropoda; Physidae.
CCAAAACCGAACAAAUCACGUGUGUUUCUAUAUUUAGUGACAAACAUGUCCGAGUACCGUUGGUUGCUAUGAUACGUGAGCUUUAAGGGGAAAUAACUUAAUGAAUUUGAAAUAAUUCCAGGAAUUCCCGUUGUAAACAACCAUAUCAAGACAUAGUGCCCUAGCUUUGUUCUACAAAGACAAAACUGGAUAAAAAUAAACCGCGUAACCUGUUUGUGCAGUGGACUGUGACACAAAUUUUGGCGACAUUCAGACUAGCAGUAUGGAGCUGACGGACACCCAGAUUUAUAUAAUAAGUGGUGUAGCAGCGACUAUCGCUGUUUGUCUAAUUUGUUUGAUUGGCUGCUGCUGCAAAUACUGCUGUGGUGGGGGACGGAAAAGAAACAACGGCACACGGAGGAGUGAAAAAUCAUCUAAACCUAGGGUGACCAAAUGUACGUCAACCACCAUAGACCUUCACGGACAUUCAAGGCAGAGCGCCAUUCAAAAAACCAGAGACUUUAUCUGGUCCAGUAAACAAA